UUAGUAUAAACUUGGUUUGGUUAGUAGCUGUUUCGUUGGGGCGACGAAAAUAUAAUUGAUAGUAACUGUUUUUCUUUUAUAAUAACAAUAAAUUUUUGGUAGAAAUUGAUCCUUUAU
Molecule: ribosomal RNA, 117 nt
Filed under: Metapenaeus monoceros
Lineage: Eukaryota; Metazoa; Arthropoda; Malacostraca; Decapoda; Penaeidae
Description: partial 16S ribosomal RNA
Source: RNAcentral